AGCAGCCGCCGCGGGAAUACGGAGGGUGCAAGCGUUAAUCGGAAUUACUGGGCGUAAAGCGCACGCAGGCGGUCUGUCAAGUCGGAUGUGAAAUCCCCGGGCUCAACCUGGGAACUGCAUUCGAAACUGGCAGGCUAGAGUCUUGUAGAGGGGGGUAGAAUUCCAGGUGUAGCGGUGAAAUGCGUAGAGAUCUGGAGGAAUACCGGUGGCGAAGGCGGCCCCCUGGACAAAGACUGACGCUCAGGUGCGAAAGCGUGGGGAGCAAACAGGAUUAGAUACCCCGGUAGUCCCUGUCUCUUAUAC
This 303-nucleotide ribosomal RNA is filed under the name uncultured bacterium. RNAcentral's name for it is "partial 16S ribosomal RNA". It matches the Rfam family "Bacterial small subunit ribosomal RNA", at positions 507 to 807 of the family's 1533-position model. The record is from RNAcentral.